Molecule: unclassified non-coding RNA, 218 nt
Filed under: uncultured Tomentella
Lineage: Eukaryota; Fungi; Basidiomycota; Agaricomycetes; Thelephorales; Thelephoraceae
Description: sequence contains ITS2
Source: RNAcentral
ACACCUCAACUCUCAUGGUUUUACCGUGAUGAGCUUGGACUUUGGGGGUCUUGCUGGCCAGCGGUCGGCUCCUCUCAAAUGAAUCAGCUUACCAGUGUUUGGUGGCAUCACAGGUGUGAUAACUAUCUACGCUUGUGGUUUCCUGCCAGGUAUCCUUCAGUGAUGAAGGGUCGCUGGAGCUCACAAAUGUCUUUCCUCAGCGAAGACAGCUCUUGAUU